Molecule: long non-coding RNA, 209 nt
Filed under: Manihot esculenta (cassava)
Lineage: Eukaryota; Viridiplantae; Streptophyta; Magnoliopsida; Malpighiales; Euphorbiaceae
Description: long non-coding RNA (MESC_LNC005599)
Source: RNAcentral
UCUGCAGCUCUAGAAGAAAUGAAAGAGUGAGAAGCACCGGGGUCCAUUAAAGCAUACACCUCUGAACACCCAAUGAUGAGAUUACCUGACACCACUGUGUUCGACGUGUCUGCCUCCUGCUGAGUCAGGGUGAAAAUCCGUGCUGGGGCUGACGGACUUGCACCUCGGGAACCCAUCCCUGAUGAAGAGGCUGCCCCUCUUCCUCUUCC